Etheostoma spectabile (orangethroat darter) is the source of this 378-nucleotide long non-coding RNA. RefSeq lists it as uncharacterized. The record is from RefSeq and is a predicted model, not a curated record. Lineage: Eukaryota; Metazoa; Chordata; Actinopteri; Perciformes; Percidae. The transcript has 4 exons.
GGUGUGAGCGCGAGCAGAGACGUGGAGGAGAGGCACUUAAGGGUGUCCGUAAAUAUGAGAGGAGGGUGAAGGAGCUCACCUAUCAGACUGAGGAGGACAAGAAAAAUGUUGCACAGGCUGCAGGAUCUAGUUGACAAGUUCAGCUUAAAGUCAAGGCCUACAAGAGGCAGGCUGAGGAGGCGAGGAGCGCCAAAUCUCAUCUGUCCAAGUGCAGGAAGGUGCAGCAUGAGCUGGAGGAGCUGAGGAGCGCGCUGACAUCGCAGAGUCCCAGGUCAACAAGUUGAGAGCGAAGAGCCGUGACUCUGGCAAGGGUAAAGAGGAGCUGAUAAGAAAAACACUGAAAUCAGCUGUUUUUCAAUCAUAUAAUAUGAUGUAGAU